RNAcentral lists this ribosomal RNA (372 nucleotides) under uncultured organism. RNAcentral's name for it is "partial 16S ribosomal RNA". It matches the Rfam family "Bacterial small subunit ribosomal RNA", at positions 527 to 896 of the family's 1533-position model. The record is from RNAcentral.
GUAGGUGGCAAGCGUUGUCCGGAUUUACUGGGCGUAAAGGGCGCGCAGGCGGCUCGUCAAGUCUGGGGGUGAAAUCUCCCGGCUCAACCGGGAGAGGUCUCUGGAUACUGACGGGCUUGAGGGAAGCAGAGGAGAGCGGAAUUCCCGGUGUAGCGGUGAUAUGCGUAGAUAUCGGGAGGAACACCAGUGGCGAAGGCGGCUCUCUGGGCUUUUCCUGACGCUGAGGCGCGAAAGCGUGGGGAGCGAACCGGAUUAGAUACCCGGGUAGUCCACGCCGUAAACGUUGUGCACUAGGUGUGGGGGGUAUUGACCCCCUCCGUGCCGCAGUUAACGCGAUAAGUGCACCGCCUGGGGAGUACGGCCGCAAGGCUA